GAUGAACGCUGGCUACAGGCUUAACACAUGCAAGUCGAGGGGAAACGACGGGGAAGCUUGCUUCCCCGGGCGUCGACCGGCGCACGGGUGAGUAACGCGUAUCCAACCUGCCUCUGACUGAGGGAUAACCCGUCGAAAGUCGGCCUAAUACCUCAUGGCAUCGUCUGCGGGCAUCCAACGACGAUUAAAGAUUUCAUCGGUCAGGGAUGGGGAUGCGUCUGAUUAGCUUGUUGGCGGGGUAACGGCCCACCAAGGCUACGAUCAGUAGGGGUUCUGAGAGGAAGGGCCCCCACAGUGGAACUGAGACACGGGCCAAACUCCUACGGGAGGCAGCAGUUAGGAAUAUUGGUCAAUGGGCGGGAGCCUGAACCAGCCAAGUAGCGUGCAGGAUGACGGCCCUAUGGGUUGUAAACUGCUUUUAUGCGGGGAUAAAGUGAGGGACGUGUCCUUCAUUGCAGGUACCGCAUGAAUAAGGACCGGCUAAUUCCGUG
RNAcentral lists this ribosomal RNA (491 nucleotides) under uncultured bacterium. RNAcentral describes it as "partial 16S ribosomal RNA". It matches the Rfam family "Bacterial small subunit ribosomal RNA", at positions 28 to 507 of the family's 1533-position model. The record is from RNAcentral.